Molecule: non-coding RNA, 86 nt
Organism: Thalictrum thalictroides
Lineage: Eukaryota; Viridiplantae; Streptophyta; Magnoliopsida; Ranunculales; Ranunculaceae
Source: the annotation of a GenBank genome assembly
AGAUCAAGUGAUGAGAAAAAAAAACUGCAACAAUAUGAUAGAUUGAUUAUCAAGUCUUUCAUGAUUCUUUGUAUUUAAGUCUCUGA